This 1200-nucleotide long non-coding RNA is filed under the name Salmo salar (Atlantic salmon). Its description in RNAcentral is "lncRNA (ENSSSAG00000110025.1)". The record is from RNAcentral. Lineage: Eukaryota; Metazoa; Chordata; Actinopteri; Salmoniformes; Salmonidae.
GGUGACUGGUUAUUUCGACGGGUGCUGUUUAUUUAUUUAUACAAUUUCAUCCUUCCUUAUGACAUAGUCCCGACACAUCUAGAUUUGCUACCCAAGGUGGCUGGUCUUCUUGUUCUGUAUCUAUGGAUGCGACCCAGAUGUUCAUUCUAAAUAUUCCAUUGCCAUACUGGCCGUAAACGUUCUUAUCCCUUGCUUGCUAGCUAGCCAACUACGUCUAAUUUACAGUCACGUCAAAAAGUGCAGCCAGAAUAACAACAAAGUAGCUGCCCUUGCAUUUGCUUAAGCUGUUUUCUAGUGACAUUUAUUUGGAACAUUCAUAACAAUGAGCUAAUGGCAUAGAAAAUGUGCUCACUCGUCAGGUCACUGUUCAGAGAAGCUAGCCAACAACACAGCUAAAUCAAUCACUUCAAACUGAAGCUGGAAAGACUGCAAACUAGCUGCACUUCGUUUACCGAGAGAAUACUUCAAAAUGAGAAGAUCCUGCCAAGGAAAAGACGACUGGGUGGACAUAAAGUGGAAAGGAGGGAAAUAACUCACACCAUGCAGCACGACACCUUCAGCUGAGGGGUCUUUGUAAUGCAGAGUUCAACAAAGCCAACAACUGCUUCAUGUGUGCCACUGAUAAAGAACCUGGAUGUGGCCCAAAGACUGACUGGGAAUGAAGACGAGUUCAGAGUGAAGAACACAAACUGGAAGAUCUGUCUUUGUUGUUGAAAAUGAUGCCGGUGGGCGGAGUUGGAAGGGUCGUCAGCUACAUGGGAAACACCUGGAUCCGGGUGUGUCCCAGGAUAAAGGCACCUCUUCCACAGUCAUUGGGGAGACUCUCUCCACGCAGACACCUUGUUGUUUUUGGUUGUGCUAGUUGUGGUAUCUAAUAAAUAUAUAUUUUUGAUACUCCUUGUCUCCACGUUGUCUCCCUUUUGUUGCGAACUUUGAGCAGGUUCGUAACACUUUGGACAAUUAAUAACAUGACUCUCGUACUUUGCCAUUUUCAUUUAUGGUUGACCAAGGAGCUAUUGAAAGUUAGAAAAAUGUAUGUAAAAACGUGUGAGAUGAAAAUUGACAAACUAAAGGAUGUGCAAUGUGAAGGCCAACUGAGUGGACAUUCUGAACCUUAUUUGAGUCCAGUAGGUCACAUGACCAAGGAGCUAUUGACAUUUUUAAGUUUGAAAAAUUCAUGUAAAAACGCGAGAGAUGAAA